This 301-nucleotide ribosomal RNA is filed under the name uncultured bacterium. Its description in RNAcentral is "partial 16S ribosomal RNA". It matches the Rfam family "Bacterial small subunit ribosomal RNA", at positions 509 to 807 of the family's 1533-position model. The record is from RNAcentral.
CAGCAGCCGCGGUAAUACGGAGGGGGCUAGCGUUGUUCGGAAUUACUGGGCGUAAAUGGCGCGUAGGCGGCCAUUCAAGUUAGAUGUGAAAGCCCUGGGCUCAACCUAGGAAUUGCAUUUGAUACUGUUUGGCUUGAGUUCGGGAGAGGUGAGUGGAAUUCCCAGUGUAGAGGUGAAAUUCGUAGAUAUUGGGAAGAACACCAGUGGCGAAGGCGGCUCACUGGACCGACACUGACGCUGAGGCGCGAAAGCGUGGGGAGCAAACAGGAUUAGAUACCCCCGUAGUCCCUGUCUCUUAUAC